Molecule: transfer RNA, 76 nt
Filed under: Planctomycetota bacterium
Lineage: Bacteria; Pseudomonadati; Planctomycetota
Description: Planctomycetes bacterium (activated sludge metagenome) tRNA-Ile
Rfam family: tRNA
About the family: Transfer RNA (tRNA) molecules are approximately 80 nucleotides in length. Their secondary structure includes four short double-helical elements and three loops (D, anti-codon, and T loops).
Source: RNAcentral
GCGCGCGCAGCUCGAUGGUCCGAGCAUCCGCCUGAUACGCGGGAGGUUGAAGGUUCGAGUCCUUCCGCGCGCACCA